Molecule: long non-coding RNA, 190 nt
Organism: Ostrinia furnacalis (Asian corn borer)
Lineage: Eukaryota; Metazoa; Arthropoda; Insecta; Lepidoptera; Crambidae
Exons: 2
Source: RefSeq, a predicted model, not a curated record
GUGACAUCUCGAGGAUACCGCGGUAUUGAUGACAAAGAUGGGGACUAGCAAUGCAAAAAAGCAAAGGUUAACAUUUGUGGCGAUGCACUGCCUGAAGGAAUUCCACAACCUAAUCCGACAACAUGACUAACAGCGCUAUGCGAGCGCUGUGAAAGGGUCUCUUUGAGCUACAAUAACGUCGGAACUAAUA